GGACCUGACUGCUAUCGGAUUGAUACUAAGCCAUGCGAGUCAUUGUAGCAAUACAAGGCAUACGGCUCAGUAACGCGUAGUCAACCUAACCUAUGGACGGGAAUAACCUCGGGAAACUGAGAAUAAUGCCCGAUAGAACAUUAUGCCUGGAAUGGUUUAUGUUCCAAAUGAUUUAUCGCCGUAGGAUGGGACUGCGGCCUAUCAGUUUGUUGGUGAGGUAAUGGCCCACCAAGACUAUUACAGGUACGGGCUCUGAGAGGAGUAGCCCGGAGAUGGGUACUGAGACACGGACCCAGGCCCUAUGGGGCGCAGCAGGCGAGAAAACUUUGCAAUGUGCGAAAGCACGACAAGGUUAAUCCGAGUGAUUUCUGCUAAAGAAAUCUUUUGUUAGUCCUAGAAACACUAACGAAUAAGGGGUGGGCAAGUUCUGGUGU
Molecule: ribosomal RNA, 434 nt
Filed under: uncultured archaeon
Lineage: Archaea
Description: bacterial SSU rRNA
Rfam family: Archaeal small subunit ribosomal RNA
Source: RNAcentral